RNAcentral lists this ribosomal RNA (277 nucleotides) under uncultured bacterium. RNAcentral describes it as "partial 16S ribosomal RNA". It matches the Rfam family "Bacterial small subunit ribosomal RNA", at positions 30 to 317 of the family's 1533-position model. The record is from RNAcentral.
AUUGAACGCUGGCGGCAUGCCUAACACAUGCAAGUCGAACGGGAGUAGCAAUACUCCAGUGGCGGACGGGUGAGGAAUACGUAGGGAUUUGCCCUUAAGUGGGGGAUAGUCCAGGGAAACUUGGUUUAAUACCGCAUGAUCUCGAAAGAGCAAAGCAGGGGAUCGCAAGACCUUGCGCUUUUGGAGGAACCUACGUCUGAUUAGCUAGUUGGUGAGGUAACGGCUCACCAAGGCGACGAUCAGUAACUGGUCUGAGAGGAUGAUCAGUCACACCGGA